AACGGGAUCGGCUGGAGCUUGCUCCGGCCGUGAGAGUGGCGAACGGGUGAGUAAUGCGUGACCGACCUGCCCCAUACACCGGAAUAGCUCCUGGAAACGGGUGGUAAUGCCGGAUGCUCCGACAUGACGCAUGUCGUGUUGGGAAAGAUUCAUCGGUAUGGGAUGGGGUCGCGUCCUAUCAGGUAGUCGGCGGGGUAACGGCCCACCGAGCCUACGACGGGUAGCCGGCCUGAGAGGGCGACCGGCCACAUUGGGACUGAGAUACGGCCCAGACUCC
RNAcentral lists this ribosomal RNA (277 nucleotides) under uncultured Bifidobacterium sp. Its description in RNAcentral is "partial 16S ribosomal RNA". It matches the Rfam family "Bacterial small subunit ribosomal RNA", at positions 65 to 339 of the family's 1533-position model. Lineage: Bacteria; Bacillati; Actinomycetota; Actinomycetes; Bifidobacteriales; Bifidobacteriaceae. The record is from RNAcentral.